AUACGGAGGGUGCAAGCGUUAAUCGGAAUUACUGGGCGUAAAGCGCGCGUAGGCGGCUUAUUAAGUCAGAUGUGAAAUCCCCGGGCUCAACCUGGGAACUGCAUCUGAUACUGGUAAGCUAGAGUUUGGGAGAGGGAAGUAGAAUUGCAGGUGUAGCGGUGAAAUGCAUAGAGAUCUGAAGGAAUACCAGUGGCGAAGGCGACUUCCUGGCCUAAAACUGACGCUGAGGUGCGAAAGCGUGGGUAGCAAACGGGAUUAGAAACCCCAGUAGUCC
This 274-nucleotide ribosomal RNA is filed under the name uncultured bacterium. Its description in RNAcentral is "partial 16S ribosomal RNA". It matches the Rfam family "Bacterial small subunit ribosomal RNA", at positions 523 to 796 of the family's 1533-position model. The record is from RNAcentral.